AGAUUUUUUUUUUUCCUACGAUGAGGUGGCAAUUAUAGCACCAGAAGUUGUGGGUCUGAGUGUCUGCAGUGUGGUCACAGUUUUGCAUAGGCUGUGGCAGCAAUUUGUUUCAUAAAGCUGAAAACAGCAAACAGGAUGCCAUUGAAACAGAAGGUGUUAUAAUUGGUAAUAACGUCCUAGCUUACACUUUAGUUUUCUUGUAGUGGGUAACUUUUGUUCUUUAAGUUUUCUACUUUUCUAAGAGUUCUUGUAAUUGAAAGUGAAACAACUUGAGCUUUUUUUUCAAGCAUCUGGUUUAGCUUCAGUUAUGAUUUUAUGCAAUGGGGCAGUAUCUCCUUAUUUAAGCUGUUACACAGGAGCAAAUGUGGAGAUGCAUGAUAAUAAAGUCGUGUUUCAGAAUGUACGAAAUUACAAUUUCACUGCUUGGAAACGGGCAAGGAUUUUAAAAUUUAAGGCAUCCAAUUGUUUGACUGGAUUUUUGACCAUUGCUGUGCCUGGACCAGUUUUUUUGUCUACUCAGAAAGAUGCUGUGUGAAAUCAGAGUUGUGCAGCACACACAGGUAGCUCUUGCAGAACAUCUCAGACUGCAUUAAUCAACACAGAUACUUAUCUGUCCUGUGUGAGUAGGAAGGGAAGCUAAAAACUUGAAACCUAGCUUCCUAACAGCCAGUGCUCCUAAGUGCAUGUGUUUUUUUCAAAUGUGUUAGGGAUGAAGAAAGCUGAUGCUUCAUAAAAGCCACUUGCAAUUUUAAUUUAUCUUAACCCUACAGAUGUGACUUUUUUUUUUUUUUUUAACUCCACUGCUUAUUGUGUUAUGAGAACAUUGUCUUACAGAUAUGGUUGAUCCACUCAUGACAGAAAAAAACAAAGUGGCUGACUUCAACAUACUUUUUGCACACAGUAUUUUUUCCUGAAAGCAGAUUUUAAAUCUCAGUAUGGUUUGAGCAGAAGUUCUCA
This 957-nucleotide long non-coding RNA is filed under the name Anas platyrhynchos platyrhynchos (common mallard). RNAcentral's name for it is "lncRNA (ENSAPLG00000028084.1)". Lineage: Eukaryota; Metazoa; Chordata; Aves; Anseriformes; Anatidae. The record is from RNAcentral.